UCGAACCCAUUCCAGCAUGGAAAAUGGAUGUUAAAUGAUGAUGAUGUACGUUCCAAAUAUCAACUUAAUAAUGACAAAAUUAUUUUACUAAAUUCUUCAAUGUUUGCAAAAUUAAUUGAAACAAAAGUAGUGCAUUUGAAGGGAAAUCCUUUGAUUACCGGAUAACCAUAUUUUUGUAUUCAGUAGGUUGAUGUAAGAUAUUGACUUACAGGUGGUUUAUACUGUAUCAGUAUACCAAUUUUGUGUUGAGGGUGAUCUGACUAACUUAUAAAGAGAAAACAAUAGUCUAUAAACAGUGUUUUGUCAUUUAAAAUAUAGGGAUGAUAAUUUUGUGAAACAGUAUUAAAAAAUACAUUAUCAUAAUGCAUUAUAAUACAUUAUUAUAACAUAUUAUUACCUGUUCCAAAUGGCAAUUUUUAAAGCUUCUUCUUCACUGUAACCAACUGUAACCAUUCAUAUAGUGGAGCAUGUGGAUUUAACCCUUUUGCUACCAUACUUCUGUUGAGAUUCUCUGUGUUUCUUUCAAUUGAUUUUAAAUAUAACAAAGAAUUUAGUAAAAUAACUUAGUUAUCAUUAAGCUAGUAUUAAGAACAUAAAUUGUGACUAAGGUUUGGUGGAAGAUUUUCAUUCGGAACUUUUGAAAACAAGACAUUUGUACUGCAGAGCCAGAGGCAGUUUCAGCUGGUGAUUGUCUUACCUAAGGACAACUUGCAAGAGCCAAAACAAAAUGAAACAAGUCCUCCACUAAGGUGAAUGCCACAGAAAGCCAUAACACAGUACAUAUUUUUUCAUUCAGCUAUUUUUUUAUACAACCUGAAUGCUUUAUACAGGACUUUUUGCUCAAAUAUAUUUAACUCUACAGAAAUGAAUUGUGCAUGUAUAUAUAGAGUGUGUGUAUGUGUAUGAUUUUCAAUGUACACUCUUGUAAUUGAUAUGUAAUAAACAUUUUUCUAUUGCCUUACGUUGACAUUUCUUUAUUCAAGUUACUUCAAGUUUCAUGCUUGUAAAGUGCAAUAAUCAUAUAGGCUUGUAUAGCAUGCACAAUUGGGCAGUUUUCAAGCUCAGUGAUUGCCAGAUCAUGCACAGUGAGCUAUACAAACCUGUGCAAUUACUGCACUAGUCAAACAUGAGACUUGAUGUAGCUCACAUAUAACUCCUGUAUUCAUUAAAUGAUGAACACACACACACGCACACACACACACACACA
Molecule: long non-coding RNA, 1207 nt
Organism: Octopus sinensis (East Asian common octopus)
Lineage: Eukaryota; Metazoa; Mollusca; Cephalopoda; Octopoda; Octopodidae
Exons: 3
Source: RefSeq, a predicted model, not a curated record